CGCAGCUUCCCGGAUCCGAUUCUGGCGCGGCCUGAGCUCCACGGCAGGUGGCCCGGCCCUGCAGGGACCCCAGCACCUCCGGGGGCCUCGCGGGAAUUGAGGACGAGCCUCUGGCGUUGGGUGAACCUGGGCGUUUGGUCGGCAACGGCGCCUGCCUGUGGGAGGGGCACCCGAGCAGGGACCGCCUCGAGUGCACUGGGGCCCAGCUAGGGCACUCUCGCGGGACAAUGGGUGUCACGGCAGCCAGCGACCGUUUGUCAUUCACAGCUGCCUGAAAGGAGGACCGCAGUAUUCCCACGCAGGAAGCUUGGACCAAAAGCAGGAAUGCUUAAGGGCGCAUAUGACUUGCCAUGGUAAAAAACAGGAUGCCAACCCAGGCCUGAUGACAUCCACCUCACUAAAAGCUAAGGACUAGGACUUUCUGCUUUAAACAAGGACCCACAUGUGGGUGUUUUCUGUGGGAGAGGGAGAGAGGACAUUCGAAGGGCAGAAGUCUGACCUUUGCAAGCACACGUGAACCACACCAAUGAGAAAUGAAUGGACGAGCCAGAUGCCAAUUUAUAAAUUUCCUACUGCACACCUUGAAUGUGAAAGUACAUGUGGCCGACAAAGAGAAGGGAAGAUGGAGCCGCCAUCUUCAACAGGAGUGGCACAACUGUCGGAUCUAUGUCUGCAGCUGGAUUUUACAGGCUGCUCUUCGUUAGAAAGGAAAACUUUACGGAGGACUUCCAUGCCUUCACUAUCUGCCUAAGUAAAUUCUUCUUAACUCCUGUACCAGUCUCAGCCUCAUUUUGUCCAGCCCCUAUACAAGAUGG
This 815-nucleotide long non-coding RNA is filed under the name Homo sapiens (human). Its description in RNAcentral is "non-protein coding lnc-ANKRD27-1:1". The record is from RNAcentral. Lineage: Eukaryota; Metazoa; Chordata; Mammalia; Primates; Hominidae.